RNAcentral lists this unclassified non-coding RNA (391 nucleotides) under soil metagenome. RNAcentral's name for it is "partial contains 5.8S ribosomal RNA, internal transcribed spacer 2, and large subunit ribosomal RNA". The stretch from base 1 to 122 matches the Rfam family "5.8S ribosomal RNA", at positions 35 to 154 of the family's 154-position model. The record is from RNAcentral.
GAUGAAGUACGUAGCGAAAUGCGAUACUUGGUGUGAAUUGCAGAAUCCCGUGAACCAUCGAGUCUUUGAACGCAAGUUGCGCCCGAAGCCAUUAGGCCGAGGGCACGCCUGCCUGGGCGUCACACGUCGUUGCCCCCCCAUCUACUCCUUCGGGAUUGCGGGGGGCGGAUGAUGGCCUCCCGUGCGCCUCGUCGCGCGGUUGGCCUAAAUGCCAAGUCCUCGGCGACGCACGCCACGACAAUCGGUGGUUGCGAAACCUCGGUUGCCUGUCGUGUGCGGUCGUCGCGCAUCGAGGGCUCGAAAAAAUUGCCGGGCUUCGGCUCGACUUUCAACGCGACCCCAGGUCAGGCGGGGUUACCCGCUGAAUUUAAGCAUAUCAAUAAGCGGAGGA